RNAcentral lists this ribosomal RNA (526 nucleotides) under uncultured bacterium. Its description in RNAcentral is "bacterial SSU rRNA". It matches the Rfam family "Bacterial small subunit ribosomal RNA", at positions 97 to 614 of the family's 1533-position model. The record is from RNAcentral.
GGCAGACGGGUGAGUAACACGUAGACAAUCUUCCUCUUGGAGGGGGAUAGCUAGCCGAAAGGCUAGGUAAUACCCCGUACGAUCUUGGACCGGCAUCGGUUCAUGAUGAAACAUCCGCAAGGAUGGCCGAGAGACGAGUCUGCGGCCUAUCAGCUAGUUGGUGAGGUAACGGCUCACCAAGGCAACGACGGGUAACCGGCCUGAAAGGGUGGUCGGUCACACUGACACUGGGACACGGGUCAGACACCUACGGGUGGCAGCAGUGAGGAAUCUUGGACAAUGGGGGCAACCCUGAUCCAGCGACGCCGCGUGAAGGAUGAAGGUCUUCGGAUUGUAAACUUCUUUUGUUUGGGACUAAGAAACCUUUAGAAAUAGAGGGAGUGACUGUACCAAACGAAUAAGCCACGGCUAACUUCGUGCCAGCAGCCGCGGUAAUACGAAGGUGGCAAGCGUUACUCGGAAUUACUAGGCGUAAAGGGCAGGUAGGUGGUUCGGAAAGUCUGUUGUGUAAGCUCCCGGCCUAACU